This 568-nucleotide ribosomal RNA is filed under the name uncultured Actinomycetes bacterium. Its description in RNAcentral is "bacterial SSU rRNA". It matches the Rfam family "Bacterial small subunit ribosomal RNA", at positions 338 to 916 of the family's 1533-position model. The record is from RNAcentral. Lineage: Bacteria; Bacillati; Actinomycetota; Actinomycetes.
CCUACGGGAGGCAGCAGUGGGGAAUAUUGCACAAUGGGCGAAAGCCUGAUGCAGCAACGCCGCGUGAGGGACGACGGCCUUCGGGUUGUAAACCUCUUUUAGCAGGGAAGAAGCGAAAGUGACGGUACCUGCAGAAAAAGCACCGGCUAACUACGUGCCAGCAGCCGCGGUAAUACGUAGGGUGCAAGCGUUGUCCGGAAUUAUUGGGCGUAAAGAGCUCGUAGGCGGUUUGUCGCGUCUGCUGUGAAAAUCCGAGGCUCAACCUCGGACCUGCAGUGGGUACGGGCAAACUAGAGUGCGGUAGGGGAGAUUGGAAUUCCUGGUGUAGCGGUGGAAUGCGCAGAUAUCAGGAGGAACACCAAUGGCGAAGGCAGAUCUCUGGGCCGUAACUGACGCUGAGGAGCGAAAGCGUGGGGAGCGAACAGGAUUAGAUACCCUGGUAGUCCACGCCGUAAACGGUGGGAACUAGAUGUGGGGUCCGUUCCACGGAUUCCGUGUCGCAGCUAACGCAUUAAGUUCCCCGCCUGGGGAGUACGGCCGCAAGGCUAAAACUCAAAGGAAUUGACGG